Molecule: ribosomal RNA, 1347 nt
Filed under: uncultured bacterium
Lineage: Bacteria
Description: partial 16S ribosomal RNA
Rfam family: Bacterial small subunit ribosomal RNA
Source: RNAcentral
GACGAACGCUGGCGGCGUGCUUAACACAUGCAAGUCGAACGGAAAGGCCCUGCUUUUGUGGGGUGCUCGAGUGGCGAACGGGUGAGUAACACGUGAGUAACCUGCCCUUGACUUUGGGAUAACUUCAGGAAACUGGGGCUAAUACCGGAUAGGAGCUCCUGCUGCAUGGUGGGGGUUGGAAAGUUUCGGCGGUUGGGGAUGGACUCGCGGCUUAUCAGCUUGUUGGUGGGGUAGUGGCUUACCAAGGCUUUGACGGGUAGCCGGCCUGAGAGGGUGACCGGCCACAUUGGGACUGAGAUACGGCCCAGACUCCUACGGGAGGCAGCAGUGGGGAAUAUUGCACAAUGGGCGGAAGCCUGAUGCAGCAACGCCGCGUGCGGGAUGACGGCCUUCGGGUUGUAAACCGCUUUCGCCUGUGACGAAGCGUGAGUGACGGUAAUGGGUAAAGAAGCACCGGCUAACUACGUGCCAGCAGCCGCGGUGAUACGUAGGGUGCGAGCGUUGUCCGGAUUUAUUGGGCGUAAAGGGCUCGUAGGUGGUUGAUCGCGUCGGAAGUGUAAUCUUGGGGCUUAACCCUGAGCGUGCUUUCGAUACGGGUUGACUUGAGGAAGGUAGGGGAGAAUGGAAUUCCUGGUGGAGCGGUGGAAUGCGCAGAUAUCAGGAGGAACACCAGUGGCGAAGGCGGUUCUCUGGGCCUUUCCUGACGCUGAGGAGCGAAAGCGUGGGGAGCGAACAGGCUUAGAUACCCUGGUAGUCCACGCUGUAAACGGUGGGUACUAGGUGUGGGGUCCAUUCCACGGGGUUCCGUGCCGUAGCUAACGCUUUAAGUACCCCGCCUGGGGAGUACGGCCGCAAGGCUAAAACUCAAAGGAAUUGACGGGGCCCCGCACAAGCGGCGGAGCAUGCGGAUUAAUUCGAUGCAACGCGUAGAACCUUACCUGGGUUUGACAUGGAUCGGGAGUGCUCAGAGAUGGGUGUGCCUCUUUUGGGGUCGGUUCACAGGUGGUGCAUGCCUGUCGUCAGCUCGUGUCGUGAGAUGUUGGGUUAAGUCCCGCAACGAGCGCAACCCUUGUUCACUGUUGCCAGCACGUUAUGGUGGGGACUCAGUGGAGACCGCCGGGGUCAACUCGGAGGAAGGUGGGGAUGACGUCAAGUCAUCAUGCCCCUUAUGUCCAGGGCUUCACGCAUGCUACAAUGGCCGGUACAGAGAGUGGCGAGCCUGUGAGGGUGAGCGAAUCUCGGAAAGCCGGUCUCAGUUCGGAUUGGGGUCUGCAACUCGACCUCAUGAAGUCGGAGUCGCUAGUAAUCGCAGAUCAGCAACGCUGCGGUGAAUAAAUUCCCGGGGCU